UUUUUAUGAGAGUUUGAUCCUGGCUCAGGACGAACGCUGGCGGCGUGCCUAAUACAUGCAAGUCGAACGCUUCUUUUUCCACCGGAGCUUGCUCCACCGGAAAAAGAAGAGUGGCGAACGGGUGAGUAACACGUGGGUAACCUGCCCAUCAGAAGGGGAUAACACUUGGAAACAGGUGCUAAUACCGUAUAACAAUCAAAACCGCAUGGUUUUGAUUUGAAAGGCGCUUUCGGGUGUCGCUGAUGGAUGGACCCGCGGUGCAUUAGCUAGUUGGUGAGGUAACGGCUCACCAAGGCCACGAUGCAUAGCCGACCUGAGAGGGUGAUCGGCC
Molecule: ribosomal RNA, 331 nt
Filed under: Enterococcus faecium
Lineage: Bacteria; Bacillati; Bacillota; Bacilli; Lactobacillales; Enterococcaceae
Description: bacterial SSU rRNA
Rfam family: Bacterial small subunit ribosomal RNA
Source: RNAcentral